GACGAACGCUGGCGGCGUGCCUAAUACAUGCAAGUCGAACGCAGUGGGGACGGGUGAUUAACACGUGGGUAACCUCCCAUCAGAGGGGAUAACACUUGGAAACAGGUGCUAAACCGCUACUGAUGGAUGAACCCGCUGUGCAUUAGCUAGUUGGUGAGGUAACGGCUCACCAAGGCCACGAUGCAUAGCCGGUCUGAGAGGAUGAGCGGCCACACUGGAACUGAGACACGGCCCAGACUCCUACGGGAGGCAGCAGUAGGGAAUAUUGGGCAAUGGACGAAAGUCUGAUGGAGCAACGCCGCGUGAAUGAAGAAGGUUUUCGGAUCGUAAAGCACUGUUGUUAGAGAAGCGGUAUCUAACGAGGAAGCCACGGCUAACUACGUGCCAGCAGCCGCGGUAAUUC
Molecule: ribosomal RNA, 403 nt
Filed under: uncultured bacterium
Lineage: Bacteria
Description: partial 16S ribosomal RNA
Rfam family: Bacterial small subunit ribosomal RNA
Source: RNAcentral